This 53-nucleotide non-coding RNA is filed under the name Aurantiochytrium limacinum. Lineage: Eukaryota; Bigyra; Thraustochytrida; Thraustochytriidae. The record is from RNAcentral.
CAUAUGUAUAUAUGUAUAUCCUUUGUCAAGUUUUUUUUUUUUUUUUUCUUCUC